Molecule: long non-coding RNA, 404 nt
Organism: Mesoplodon densirostris (Blainville's beaked whale)
Lineage: Eukaryota; Metazoa; Chordata; Mammalia; Artiodactyla; Ziphiidae
Exons: 3
Source: RefSeq, a predicted model, not a curated record
CUCCCGUUGUGGAGCACAGGCUCCAGACGCGCAGGCUCAGCGGCCAUGGCUCACGGGCCCAGCCACUCCGCGGCAUGUGGGAUCUUCCCAGACCGGGGCACGAACCCACGUCCCCUUCAUCGGCAGGUGGACUCAACCACUGCGCCACCAGAGAAGCCCAAAACACAGAUGAGAAGAUUGUGCUCAGAGAUGUCAAGCGACGUGGAAGAAUCAUCUAGCUAAUAGGAGACAAAUUUGGAAUUUGAAGCAACACAGAACAGAUGCUGCCCCAGAUGUGGAAGAUGCAGAUGUUUAAUUUCAGAAUAACUCCAAAUUCAUAACUGUAUAUGGCAUUCUACAGAUUCCUCAGUUUGAUUUUGAGGAGAAAAUAGUCCCCCUCCCCAAAACGUUGUUUAAAUAUUUUU